GAUGAACGCUGGCGGCGUGCCUAAUACAUGCAAGUCGAGCGAACAGACGAGGAGCUUGCUCCUCUGACGUUAGCGGCGGAAGGGUGAGUAACACGUGGAUAACCUACCUAUAAGACUGGGAUAACUUCGGGAAACCGGAGCUAAUACCGGAUAAUAUAUUGAACCGCAUGGUUCAAUAGUGAAAUACGGUUUUGCUGUCACUUCUAGAUGGAUCCGCGCCGCAUUAGCUAGUUGGUAAGGUAACGGCUUACCAAGGCAACGAUGCGUAGCCGACCUGAGAGGGUGAUCGGCCACACUGGAACGGAGACGCGGUCCAGACUCCUACGGGAGGCAGCAGUAGGGAAUCUUCCGCAAGGGGCGAAAGCCUGACGGAGCAACGCCGCGUGAGUGAUGAAGGGCUUCGGAUCGUAAAACUCUGUUAUUAGGGAAGAACAAAUGUGUAAGUAACUAUGCACGUCUUGACGGUACCUAAUCAGAAAGCCACGGCUAACUACGUG
This 497-nucleotide ribosomal RNA is filed under the name uncultured bacterium. RNAcentral's name for it is "partial 16S ribosomal RNA". It matches the Rfam family "Bacterial small subunit ribosomal RNA", at positions 28 to 507 of the family's 1533-position model. The record is from RNAcentral.